GGAAAUGGGGAUCCUACCGCCUUGCUUUCCAUCCCUUCGUGCAGUUCUGAUGGCUCAGAGUGGGAGGUGCCCGGUGCACGUGGCUCUACCAAGGCAAGGUCCAUUUGCCAGGUUACAGCCACGCACAUUUUUAGGGUCUUCUCUCCUUUCUCAGCAUCCCCACAGUGCUCACUGGCCCCCGUCUGCUGGCCCAGCAGCUGCUAGAACCUGCAGCUUCCUAGCUUUUCCUCCUCAAACGCUGCAGCUGAUGGCGGAGGUGAUGUCCAGGUAGCAGCCCCAAGCUCGUUCCUGUCUCACUGAUCAACUUCAUCACUCGUGGCAGCACGGGGGUCGUGCCUGCACUCGUGGGACAGCACGAGACGAGCGCUCUGCCCUUAAGCCCCCACCUGUUAGCUCAGUUGUUGCUGCACCGUCGUGCUACGGUGGCCACUUCUCAUGCCUCUGCCCUAUUGCAGGGCCAGGCAGACCAGAGGAGCCGUGGGAAGCUCUUUCCCUUCUCCCUGUGCUCUCCAGUCCGGCUGCAUGGCCUGUUUGGUGGUGGGGGGUUCCACGCAGCGCCGGCAGACGGUGACUCCUUUGCCUCCCCCCCCUCUCUCUGUCAGCAGACACCAAUGCCUCUAUGGGAAAAGCCCUUCUGUCACCUGUGUCACACCCUGUGCCGGGGCAGCUCAGACCAGGGUGGCUGUGAGUUUGCUCUUUGGUCCCACUCGCCUCUUUGGAGGUGAUGCUUUUUGUGCUUAUGGGUAGAACAGCCCUCCCGGGGGGCUUUCUGCAGGACUCGGAGCGCCCGUGUGUGCAGCCAGGGGGGAGCGCAGCACAGGGUGCUGUGUUCCCACCCUCAGCUGAGAGCUCACUGCCUGUCCCAGCAACGCUGCCCUCUGGAUCCCUGCUCCGAGCUGCCCCAGCAUGAAGGCUACAAGGAAACUCCGAGCACUCUUCACGUGCCAUUCUCACUUGACUUUUUGUACGUAUGUAUGAAAGUUCUAAACUAAUACUGCUGUAAAGAAAGAUACAGAUUAAUAUAGCAUAUUAUAUAAAGAUAUAUGUAUAUAAUUUUUUCCCCCCCCUUAUAUUGUAUGGCACUGUAUAAAAUGAAUGUCGAAGCAUGACUGGUGUGUAUGUGACUGUUCCCAAGCCUGACCUGGGGAAUGACAGCUGUGAUUUGCCUGUACCUUUGUCCCAAAGGGUUGUGUGUGAGUUUGGAAGCCUGCACCGUGCCCUCCCAUUGCAGUGGGUCGUGGCGUGAGACGCUGCAUCGCUGUGGCUGCCUGGGGAUCAGUUCUGGUGUUGGUCUCCUUGCCAGCUCUGUCCCUGCGGUGCAAUGGGAGAAACAUCCCUGCAGAGCAAAGGACACGGCGUCGUGUAGGUUUGUCAGGCAGGAUGUGAAUGCCUGGUGCUGUUUAUGGAUGUAUAACGCCGUAAUCAUAAGUAUUCUGGACGGAGGGAAGCAGUAGGGGAGGAAGGAGAAAUAAGGGAAGCGGGGGGAGCCGGGUCAGGAGAGGAGCAGGGGCUUUCUGAGCAGCCAUGAGGAAUGCGGGCUGGAAAAGGAACGCCUGGAAGAAAAUAAUGCUAUUAAUGGCUGCACGGAGGGGUUUUGGGGGUGUUCCUGAAGAGGCUGAGCACUAUCAGGGAAUUAAGAGCUCAGAGGUGGCUGAACUACUGAGUUCCUAUAAAAAUGCCUAUAAAAAGUGCUGGUAUGCUGAAGUGCCUGCCUGACGCUUUGGUUUGGCUUCGUUUUGUUUUCCUACCCCUAACUAUCAGGUAGUCUCAUAAAAAGAUAUUACUUCUAUAAACACUUCCUCUCUCAGGGAGAGAGAAAACCAUUCAACUCUGGAUCCUACCCUUGUGUAAACACAAAACAAUCCAUGCUGUGGAGGGACUGUUCUAAUACGGUUACUAAGGAGAAGGCUUCUGAGUGUGAUCACAGCAGGCACUGUGGAUGUUGAAAGCCCUGGCAGGGAUGGAGCUGCUAUUCCCGAGACGACUCUCGGGCUGCUUGGUUCGAUGGUGGAUUGAGCAAGGGGAGCGUUUCAGCUCGUUGGCCAUGAAGAGCCACAGCAGAGGGUGCUGUGCUUGUGCUGGCAGUGCUGCGGGCACCCUCAGGCCUGGAGUAGUGCUGCCUGCCUGCUCCUAGGGCUCGCUGCCGUACAAACAGCCACGCUGCUGGAACACUUCGAACUCCAUUGGGUGAAGCUUGAGAUGCGAGUGCAGCAGGAGCUGCUUUCCAGCCUGCCCAGGAGACUUCUCGUGCUGCUCCUCGUGGCCGUCCUGACCCCCAGCACCGCUGGCUCCCCGUGCUUCUGGCCGCAGCCACAAAAGCUCCCCCAGAACGCGCGUCCCUCGCUGGCCGACCUUCCUUUAUCCUUUUAAUCAAUGGUGGCGUUCUCUCCAUCUUGGGAACAAACCUCUCGUAGUUAAUGGAUAACCAGGGAGAGAUUUAUCAGCACCGUUCUCUUGCCAAGAGGAGAUAACCGGGCGAGCCCGCCGUGGUCUGCUUCCGCCUGCAGCAGCUGCCUUGGGUGUGGAUGGGGCAUCCAAGGAGGGUGAGCCCGCAUCCUCCACUGCCUCCCUGUCUGCUACUGGAGGAGGCGCACAGCCUCAGCACGGGGCUCUGAGGGUAGCGAGGCUCCACGAGGAUGGACCACGAGGAGGCCUGAUCCACCUGCACCUGCAGGAGCGCCUUUGUGGUGUGCUGGUCCCACGCCUGGAAGACCAAGGCGCCCAUGGGAUGCAUUCCACUACAGCCAUCAUUGCUGAAGAUGAGCCAAAUAGGUCUCCUGCAGCCGCGUGUUCACGUGGGACAUCUUGCCCCCAAAGCAUUGGUGUUGUGGUUGUCUUUCCAAUUGGUUUUGCGGCGCUCCUGGGAAUCGAGGCUCCUCACCAACCAUUGCUUGCAUCCUUCAAGCCCCUCAGAGCCCCACUUUGUGGGCAGGAGUUGCACAAAGCACGAGCCAGAGGCAGCCCGAGCAAGCAGAGUUUUGUUUAGGUGGCUGCACCACUUCCAUUCUGCAAUGCCUUCGCUCUGCACAGCUGGCAGGAGGAUCCCAGAAUAACCACGCUUGCUGAGGGGGGAAGAAUUGCAGCAGUGUUUGAGGCGAGGAGAAGCUGUCACACAAAGCAGAAAGCUAUCGGGCAGCCCGUGGGGACCCACAGGGAGGAGAGAACGCAGUAUCUGCAGGAAGAUGAGGCUGUUCCCAGCAAGCAGGCAGGGAGCAAUCUAGGAUGUACCUUACACAUCCGCGAUAACCCUAUCAGCAGUGUUGAAGCUAGCGUGGCCGAUGACCCCAGGCUGAAUGGCUCUCCUUUGUACCGUGCUGAUGAAUAUCCCAGCAGCAUCCUCUCUGCUCCUGCUGACUUGUCACUGUAAAGGGUCUGAGGUUUCGGAGACCACAAACUCUCCCAGCUGUGUUUGAGAACACAGGGUGAGGGGUGGGGGGCACUGAGCUGUGUUUUGGUUUUCAGCUGAACUUUGAAAUUUAGUGCUGGAAG
RNAcentral lists this long non-coding RNA (3489 nucleotides) under Gallus gallus (chicken). RNAcentral describes it as "lncRNA (ENSGALG00010023842.1)". Lineage: Eukaryota; Metazoa; Chordata; Aves; Galliformes; Phasianidae. The record is from RNAcentral.